UAGGGAAUAUUGGACAAUGGGCGCAAGCCUGAUCCAGCCAUGCCGCGUGAGUGAAGAAGGCCCUCGGGUUGUAAAGCUCUUUUGUCCGGAAAGAAAAGCAUCGGGCUAAUACCCUGGUGUUCUGACGGUACCGGAAGAAUAAGCACCGGCUAACUUCGUGCCAGCAGCCGCGGUAAUACGAAGGGUGCAAGCGUUACUCGGAAUUACUGGGCGUAAAGCGUGCGUAGGUGGUUUGUUAAGUCUGAUGUGAAAGCCCUGGGCUCAACCUGGGAAUGGCAUUGGAAACUGGCGGACUCGAGUGCGGUAGAGGGGUGUGGAAUUCCCGGUGUAGCAGUGAAAUGCGUAGAGAUCGGGAGGAACACCAGUGGCGAAGGCGACACCCUGGACCAGCACUGACACUGAGGCACGAAAGCGUGGGGAGCAAACAGGAUUAGAUACCCUGGUAGUCCACGCCCUAAACGAUGCGAACUGGAUGUUGGGUGCAACUUGGCACUCAGUAUCGAAGCUAACGCGUUAAGUUCGCCGCCUGGGGAGUACGGUCGCAAGACUGAAACUCAAAGGAAUUGACGGGGUCAUAGC
RNAcentral lists this ribosomal RNA (579 nucleotides) under uncultured bacterium. Its description in RNAcentral is "partial 16S ribosomal RNA". It matches the Rfam family "Bacterial small subunit ribosomal RNA", at positions 355 to 925 of the family's 1533-position model. The record is from RNAcentral.